This is a long non-coding RNA of Pipistrellus kuhlii (Kuhl's pipistrelle), 741 nucleotides long. RefSeq lists it as uncharacterized. Lineage: Eukaryota; Metazoa; Chordata; Mammalia; Chiroptera; Vespertilionidae. The record is from RefSeq and is a predicted model, not a curated record. The transcript is spliced from 8 exons.
GCCCGUCAAUCUAGCGGGAGAGAUGGGAUAACCUGUCCGACCGUCUAUCGCCGAUAGGACUCCACCGAAAAAUAUCACUAAAAAAACAAAAAAAAAUCCCCACAAAAAUUUACUUCAAGCCAUGGGCAGUUCGCGGAGCUCGGCCAGGGCUGGCGCUGUCGGUUUUGACCUUUAGGAGAGAGCCAGUUGUGGAGAACAACCUAACUUCUUUGAUUGAGCACUCACAUAAUGCACUGGAACAUGUUAGGAGAUUAAGGUUUAUAACGAUAAAAUGAAGACCAUAAUAAAACAGCCUCGUACUUAGUUCAUCAUUUCUUACCUUUCUUACCUACUUAAUGAAGAUGUCUUACGAAAAGUAUACUUCAAGGAAUGAAAUGCUGUUUAUAAUUUAUGCUGUUACCAAGGGAAGGGGAAAAUAAUGAAAUAUGAAUUAAAUUCCUGAAAUUCUGGUCUCAAAUGCACUUAAUCAUAAUUUUCAAGCUAUGCAGUUCCUUUCCAGUCUUUUAUUAUAGAAGAGGAAAUAGCCUCUCAGUACCUGAUGAAACAGGUGGAUAUUACUAUCCCUUAUUUAUGGAAAAGUUUUAUUCUAAGUGUUGUUUCUCAUUGAGUAUUAAUAAAAGGGAGAGAAUGUCCUAAACUUUUGAGAUAGAUUUGAUUCUAGCUAUAUCUAUGCUAUGAAGAAAAUGUUGGCAAAUAAAUAAGUUUAAACCUCUUCUGUUAAAUUUCUGUGCAAGGUGACAA